AAAUUUGAAGAUUUUCCCAUUUUUAAGCCGCCACAAUGUCCUAAACAAGAGGGUAUUGAUGACUGUGGCAUCUUUACAAUCAAACACAUGGAGCAGUAUGGUGAAAAGUGGUGGAUUGAGGUAUGUUUUCAUUUAUACUAGAGAAUUUGAAUGGUAAUGAGUGGCAUGGGCAUUAACUUCAUUGAAAUUUAUGCAUUGCAGUAUAACUCAAAAGAGGUUCGCAAAGAGCUAACCUUGAAAUUGAUAAGGAACGGAUACAACAACAGAUGGCAAAUGAUGUGUAGAAACAUCAAAAAACGAUUAAAGAAUGAGAAAUAGGAAAACAAGAUUGAAGAGCCUCAGAACAAUCAAGAGACUGAGAAGCGCGGAAAGAAUGUACAGGUCCUGAAGCAAGCGAAGAUUGAACCGACCGAGAGCAACACAAACGGAAAACCACAAGUGCACGAAACUGUAAAACCUUGCAACAGAACCGUAAAACCUCGCACCAGAAAGAGUAAUGUCCAAAGUGUCCGCCGUAGCCAUUGGUAGAACCUAUGUCUCCUUAUUGUAAAACCUCAUCCUCUCACAUGCGAUAUGUACUAUAUUACUAUGUAUUAACUACUUUAUUAUGUGUACAUUAUUCACAUGAGAUGUGUACUUUUUUGAAAGGUCUACUUGUUUACGAAGCCGGGUCUGCUUAUUUACGAGUAGGAGUUUACUUUUUUUGUGAGACAAAAUGGUCUACCUGUUUACGAACACUAACCUACCUGUUUUGUGAAUGUGGUGUAUCAGCGCUUCGAACCAUUGACUCACACUACAAGUAGACCAAUUAUAAAGUGUCAAGAAUUCACAGACACUUAAAGAAUUCUUGAGAGGUCUACCUGUUUAUGAAGUAUAGUCUGCUUAUUUACGAGUAGGGGUCUACUUUUUUUGUGAGACAAAAUGGUCUACCUGUUUACGAACACUAACCUACCUGUUUUGUGAACGUGAUGUACCAGCGCUUCGAACCACUGACUCACACAACGAGUAGACAAAUUGUAAAGUGUUCAGAAUUCAUAGACACAUGAAGAAUUCUUGAGAGGUCUACCUGUUUACGAAACCUAGUCUGCUUAUUUACGAGUACAAGUCUACUUUUUUGGUGAGACAAAAUUGUCUACCUGUUUACGAACACUAACCUACCUGUUUUGUGAACGUGGUGUACUAGUGCUUCGAACCACUGACUCACACUGCAAGUAGACCAACUCUAAAGUGUCCAGAAUUCAAAGACACUUGAAGAAUUCUUAAGAGGUCUACAUGUUUACGAAGCCUGGUCUGCUUAUUUACGAGUACGAAUCUACUUUUUUGGUGAGACAAAAUGGUCUACCUGUUUACAAACACUAACAUACCUGUUUUGUGAACGUAGUGUACCACUGCUUCGAACCACUGACUCACACUACGAGUAGACCAACAAUAAAGUGUCCAGCAUUCACAGACACAUGAAGAAUUCUUGAAAAGUGUACCUGUUUACGAAAACUGGUAUGCUUAUUUACGAGUGAGGGUCUACUUUUCUUGUGAGUCAAAAUGGUCUACCUGUUUACGAACACUAACCUACCUGUUUUGUGAACGUGGUGUACCAGCGCUUCGAACCAUUGACUCACAGUGUCACAUCCCGACCCUUAAAUUUUUACCUUAUUUUCUUGCUUGGUUAAAAUAAGAAUUUUACCGUCUCCGUCUUUGAGGUUAUAGUUUAAUUGGUCCUUAGAGGGGUUUUGGGGACGGUUAUGCUCAGGGGAUUAUUUGUAGGAGGAAAAUUUGACGACGGUAAAAAAAUGGUAAAUUUUAGCUAGUAAAAGGUAAUUUUUAUUAGGGUAUUAUUUUUUCGGGGUGUUUUAUUUUGGAGUGGGUUGAUAUAUGGGUGUUGGACCGGUUUGGAGAGGCCCAAACAAUCUCCCUCUCUUUCUCUUCUCUCUCUCUUCUUUCCUGCAUCCGAGCCUCUCCCGUUGCCGGAUUUUCUUGCCGUCCAUCCGCCGCCGUCCGGCCACCAACCGCCGCCGCCCCGGUCCCAUUCGGUCGGCCAUCAACCCAGCUACCUCCCUGGACCGGUGACAGCCGCCCUAGCUCCGUCGUGAAGGAGUUCUCACCCCCGAAAGGUCCGGCUGUCGUGGUGGUUUUCUCGCCGGAACUUCCUCCUCUGGCCGCCAUAGCCGGAGCUACUUGGCUCAAAAGUGAGCCCUCCUCCUGUGCAGCAACCCCUCCAAAGGUCUCACCCUCUCUUGAGCUAGGUAAUGAGAAUUGUGGAAUUGAAUUUUCUAGGGCUUUUAGGAUGUUUUCGUUCGAUUGACCUAGUUAGGCUUGGAAUUAGGUAUUGUGCUAGUUAAGGAAGUUGUAGAGGGAGUUGAGAGAAAGAUUCUUUCAAAAUUUCAUAGGCAUUGGAGGUCGCCAGAAUCGGCCUGCGGCCGCCGCUGUUUGGGAGUUUUGUAUGGUUUUAAAUGUGGAAUAUUUAGGGGAGUUUAUUGAUGUGAAUUAUGGAAUUUUUGGAUGAGUUUUGAAUAGGUUUGUGAAUUUUCGAAGUUUGGUAAUUUUGACAGAUUAAUAAGGUAGAAUCCGGCCGUUGGAUUAAAGUCGUAUAAUCUGUGGAAGGGUGUAGUUAAGGCUGCUAGUUUUAGUGUUGAGGUGUGGACCGUAUCGAAGUUAGGCAAUGAUGAGCGUGAGUAUGGCUCUCGGUUAAUUUUGCCUAUUUUGUUUAAAUAUUGGAUUUUUAGUGGGGAAAUUAAUUAUAUAUUUGUGCCAAUGUUCGAAGAAACCUCACUGGAGCGGCGAUUUGCAUUUCGUCAGGCUUAUGCCUAUAGUUGUGAGUGGACUUUUGUUUUAAAUAAUAUGCAUGCUAUGGUUCAUGGUUGAACAAUUUGUUUUGUUGGAGCAUUUGACGUCAUUUUAAUUUUGACGAUUUUAUUUUUCUUAGAGAGUUACCGAAAAUGGGAUUUCGGUGAAUAUAAAUAUGUAUUUAUGAGGAGAGUAUGUAUAUAACAGCUAGCUAGCCUUAUGUGUCUGUUCACCUUAAUGGCGUAGCAUAUAGCCGCAUUAUAGUGACGUGAGCGUUGGACGCGAGAGUAGUAGCCCUAUAUGAGUGUUUAAUUCAUAUAGGGGGUUUGGGCACAUAUUUAUACACUCGUCUAUCCAUCUUAAUGGCGUAGUGUAGCACCGCAUUAAGGCGUGACGUGAGUGUUGGACGCGAGCGUAGUAGCCCUAUAUAGACCCAUGAAUUUAUAUAAGGAGUAUGGACGUGUGUAUAUACAUACAUAUAUUCUAGAGCCUAAGAGGCUCGAUAUUUUAUGAGAUGAAAGUUUUAUCACUUGCAGCAUGCAUUCGAUUUUUCCUUGGAAAUUGAUUUGGAGAAACAUAAAUAUUUUAUUUAUAAUUUUAUUUUUUGUUCACUCACUCUAACGUGUUUCAAAUGUUUUCCCCUGGGCCAUUCGUUUUAGAAAUGCCCAGUUGGCAGGAUUGCAUAGUUGAGGUCGGGCGUACAUGGAGAAGGGGUAUAGUCAAUAGUAUAGCUUCCGCUCAUUUCUAUAUUUUCUAGUUUAUUUCCUCUCAAUUAGAAUUGCUCUGAACUGUGAUUGUACGUUGGUUGUGGGAUUAUUCUUAUUAAAGUUAGUAAUAAAUUGGGAGAUGUUGUGAUUUGGGGAGCACGAAGGCUCCAGGAGUAGAGGGUUAUAGAUGGAUUCUUUUGAAGUGUAUGCAUGUAUUUCUAGGAAGGGUUGUCCAUUUUCAAGGGAGGUUAUGCCGAAUUUUCGGUAAAUUUUCCUUGGAGGUGGUCCCCGCAGGAUUUACUUCGGGUUUUAGGGUGAAAUUCUGGGUGGGUCUUUACAGUUGGUAUCAGAGCAUUAGGUUAUUCGAUUCCUUUCUCUUUUUAGUACUACCUCAUAUUCUUGGUCAUACUUAGUGUCUAUAGAGUGAUGGUCCGACCGCGGCGGAUCUAUUAGCAUUAUAUGCUUUAAACACUAUGUGUUGAUUAGGUUUGUGAUGUAGUUAUUCUUGUCUUAGUUAUGGACAAUAUUAUGCCAUAAAUGUUUAUAUCUUCAAGACUAUGCCUCUGUACGCCGACCUCUUGGAUAAUCAUUAUGCUUUGAGUAAUGAAAAGGUGUAUGGAUUAUGCCUUUUCUCGAGGGUUAUCAAUUUGAUAUCUUAAAUUUGUUAAGAGUUCAAUUGCGAGUUGAGAACUCCAGUUGGGAACUCAUAUGCGUAGCAGCAUUCCUUUCAUUUGACCAAUGAUUGAUUGGGUUAUGAUUAAGAUGUUAGGGUGAACAUCUUGUGUGAAUCUGUAGUAGGGAAACGUUUGAUUCGAAGCAUGUCUUGGAGUUUCCUAUUUAUGGUGGUGGGCAGAUAUGGAGUUGUAGUAAUCCGGUGGAAGAUCUUGGUAUCGAGAUCGUGACUUCUAGGAGCAAAGAGUUGGAAGAAAAGUUUAAAGUAGUGAUGUUCUCUUUGGAUGUUAAAGUUAGUUGAAGUGUUAUGGUGGAGUACCCAUAGUAAUUCAAAGAGGUACCUAUGUGAGUUGUUGAGGACUCAAUUUUGGGCUAAUUAGUCACGGGGGAUUUGUGGCUAAUAAAAAAGGCUAUCAAUUUAGAGAAGUCUUGAUUGAUGACCAAAUUUCCAACUGCCUUGUCCGUAGAGAAAGUCAGUUGGGAUUAUUUUGGUUAAAUGCUUGUUAUGGUAUGGUGGCGCAUGUUCUGGCCAUACAGCUCUAAUCAAGGAUAUGUUCUUAUCCUUGGAAUCUUCAUAUUAAAGAGUAUAAUCAGAGCAUUUUGGAGAAGGAGGUUAAUAGCAGUCGUUGAAUAGUAAGAUUUUUAGGUGACUUUCGUCUAUAUUGUGGUUUAGCUGAAGCCGGCUAAGGCGUUAAGUAUAAGAGUCCAGGAUUAUUUUCCUUGGAUUGUUGGCCUUACAAGAGUCAUUGAGCAUAGCGUUGUGAAAAACUUAUUGUUGUGCCUUAGUCAAAGAAUUUUAGAAUUUGAUUGGCGUCAUUAAAUGUUUUGAAUUUUCAAGUAAGCUUGAAAUCGUUGAGUGAGAUGUCGGUUAUAUUAUUUUAAUCGUGGGGCCAUUAUAGAUUCUUUUGGAAUUCUAAGUGUUGAAGUUGGGUUUCUAGUUUUGUUGAGUGUUAGAGGAAGAUGAUAAAUUUAAAUGGAAUUGAAAAGUAAUGGUGGAGUGAGAGCGAGAUGGUUAUGGUCGCUCCGGUUUUACGACAACUUCUGGUGAAUUUGUUAUGUGUUGUCAUGGGUAUUCUAUAACAGUUGUGUGGAGUUGGUGGAAGUGGUAGCAGUGGAAUCAAACCCACUGGAUCAUGUAGCAAGAGUGCGUGGGUGUCCAAAGUAAUUUUUAGGCAGUGUCGUUCCGGGUGGUUGAUAUAAGUCUUGAAUUUGUGAUCAAAGUUGGUUUUUUUGACAUCACUUCGUUAGCGGUUGGUGACUAGCUAUGACACAUCUAUGGGAGGAUCUGUUCACUCACCUUAUACCUAAUUUGGUGAUGUGGACCAGAGUUUUGGUUGUUGUGUGUGUGGGAAUAUAUAAAUUAUUCUUGCUGCAGUUUUGGGUAGCAUCCUCAGAGUUUGAAACUAUGGAGUGCGAAUUCGAACGCAACGAUGUGAAGGUUAGUGAUUUUGGUUAGUUGUCGAAUUUAUGAUAAAUUGGUUGUUGUGUCGUAGGCAUGGAUCCUGGAUAAAUCCAGUCGUGAUCCCAAGUGAGCUGGAGUUUAUUUAAGCGUCGAUUCAUAGAGUCGCAAGUUCUGUGGGAGUCUGAGAGUCGAGUGAGAUGUUAAAUAGAUGGUUUGUGUCGUUGUAGGUAUAUUUCAUGAUGUAGCCUUAUGGGAGAAGGUUUUCCCCUGUUGACUCAAGAAGCUUUUCGAGUCAAAGUUUAUUAAGAGAUUUAUUAUGGCGAAUAGUAGAUUUAUUGAUAGGUUGAUCAAUGUCUCUUCUCGGGAUCGUAUUGUGGUGGGACCACUCAUUGAUCCAAGUUUGGUUUGGGAGGUCUUCGCUAUUUGGUUGUGCGUUCAUCCGUUGGUGUCAAGACCAUUAGUUGAGGUUUUUAGUGCUAUUUCGAAACGGGUUCUGGCGGAUAUCGGAAAUUUGUGGAGCUUUUGAGCUCGAAGUUAGAGGACUUGCCUUUCGUGUGCUUUAGGUUAUUUCUUCUGGAACUUGAGCUGAGUUUAGCCAUGAGUUUUGAUUCUUGCUUGAAUUCAUGGUUGGUUGGUGAACUACAAGGUGUAGUAGUGGGUCUUGUAUAAAAAUUAAUCUUUGCUUUUGCUAGUUGCAUGUUAUUGCAAGCUCGGUUAUCGAAGAAUCUUUUUGGUGGGAAGCCGUGGCCCUGGAAGGUGUAAGAGACUUGAGCAUAUCUGAUUUUCAGAUUGUUUUCUGCUAUCAGAUUUAUUGUUGUUAGAGGUAGAAAAAAAAAGUGUGUUUGUUGGGUCCAAAGGUUUUGGCAUUUUGAAUCAUUCUUGUGAAAUGGCUAGAGUGAGCCGUGUGAUUUUAAUUGUUGCUCUUGGGGUCGCGGUUGCACCCGAAUAAGUAGCAUGGCUGGAGAUGUAUUCUUUUGUCAAUGUUUAAGGAAGGUGUUUUAUUUAUGUGGAUUUCAACGUCAUGUUUAGCAUCAUGAAUUGACUGUGCCAAUUUUUCGUGGGCAUUUUUAGUCAAUUUUGUUUAUGGCGAGCAAGGAGGAAAUUCCAGUCUCCACAUGAUAAUCAUGCUUCAGAUUAUCUUCUGGUUUGAGGUAAAGAGAAUAGUGGAGAUAGCAAAAUCAAGGAAGAGUUGGAAUUCCCAUAAGCUGCUAGUUUGUGGUUCGCAAAAUGGUAAUGUAAUAGUUUUGGUGGAGAGACCUAAGUGUAGUAGUAUUGAGCUUUUCAUAAUGUCAUUUCGAGAUUCGAGCUUAUCAUUUGUUGGUGGACUGGUCACUUAGGCAGAGCAAGGUGGUCUUGUGGACUUGCGAGAACUUUGACUCCGCGAAAGACUCUACGAAAUGUCUCGGCAUUAGAAGUGAUUGUUGCAGUUUUGCAGUGUGUGCAUCCUUAAUCUGUUCAAUUAGCAGGUCUUAAUUUUGACCCCUAUGAGCAUGUGGGAAUGUGUAAACUUUAGUUUCCUAACAAGUGGACUUCAUUGUUGAGUUGUGAGCAGCGUAAUGAUGAGGUUGUUGCGUGACGUUAGGAAAUUUGAGCCCGAUGGUGAUAGCAAAUUUAUGCGCUUUAUUUGGGUUAGCUAUUUCCAUUGCUCAGGAAAGAGUGUGCAUACCUACGGGUACUCGUACUCUGGAGCAGGUAUCACUGAACCCAUUUACAUGUAAACGUUAGUGGUAGUUCAACGAAGGAUUUAGAGUCUUUGAGAAGAUUAAAAAUAUUUCAGUAUGCAAAUGAAAAAGGUAAAGGAGUCAGAGAUAGACUCAAAGCAGCUCAAAGUAGCUCAAAGUAGCCAGAAGAGUUAUAAAGAUGUCCGCACCACGAGUUUCAAGUGAGUGUUUUCGAAAAUUAUCUCCUUAGAAAGGGGUAGUACGUUUUGGUAACGUGAAAAGCUUGGUCCGAGAUUUAUUGGUCCUUAUGGGUUUUUAGAUCAAGUUGGCUCUCUUGCGUAUCGUUUAGUUUUGCCUCCAGUUUUAUCUAGGAUACAUAUUGUGUUUCAUGUAUCCAUGCUUCGCAAGGAUAUUGCGGAUCCUUCUCAUGUGUUGCAAGAGCAGCCGAAUUGUUUGAAGAAAGAUCUGACUUAUGAAGAGGAUCUGACUUAUGAAGAGGAGCCAGUUCAGAUUUUGGACCGAAAGGAGCAAGUGUUGAGGAACAAGAUAAUCUCACUUGUCAAGGUGCUUUGGAGAAGUUAUCAAGUAGAGGAAGCUACCUGGGAGUUAGAGGAGCAAAGGAGGCAGCAAUAUCCCUACCUCUUUGGUUGUCAUGUAUGUAAAUUUCAAGGAUGAAAUUUUUAUAAGGAGGGGAGAAUUGUCACAUCCCGACCCUUAAAUUUUUACCUUAUUUACUAGCUUGGUUAUAAUAAGAAUUUUACCAUCUCCGUCUUUGAGGUUAUAGUUUAAUUGGUCCCUAAAGGGGUUUCGGGGACGGUUAUGCUCGGGGGAUUAUUCGUAGGAGGAAAAUUUGACGACGGUAAAAAAAUGGUAAAUUUUAGCUAGUAAAGGGUAAUUUUUAUUAGGGUAUUAUUUUUUCGGGGUGUUUUAUUUUGGAGUGGGUUGAUAUAUGGGUGCUGGACCUGUUUGGAGAGGCCCAAACCAUCUCCCUCUCUUUCUCUUCUCUCUCUCUUCUCUCCCGCACCCAAGCCACUCCCGCUGCCGGAUUUUCUCGUCGUCCAUCCAGCCACCAACCGCCGCCGCUCCGGUCCCGUUCGGUCGGCCAUCAACCCAGCUACCUCCCUGGACCGAUGACAGCCGCCCUAGCUCUGCCAUGAAGGAGUUCUCACCCCCGAAAGGUCCGGCUGUCGUGGUGGUUUCUCGCCGGAACUUCCUCCUCCGGCCGCUAUAGCCGGAGCUGCUUGGUUUAAAAGUGAGCCCUCCUCCCGUUCAGCAACCCCUCCAAAGGUCUCACCCUCUCUUGAGCUAGGUAAGGAGAAUUGUGGAGUUGAAUUUUCUAGGAUUUUUAGGAUGUUUUCGUUCGAUUGACCUAGUUAGGCUUGGAAUUGGGUGUUGUGCUAGUUAAGGAAGUUAUAGAGGAAGUUGAGAGGAAGAUUCUGUCAAAAUUUCAUAGGCAUUGGAGGUCGCCGGAAUCGGCCUGCGGCCGCCGCUGUUUGGGAGUUUUGUAUGGUUUUAAAUGUGGAAUAUUUAGGGGAGUUUAUUGAUGUGAAUUAUGGAAUUUUUGGAUGAGUUUUGGAUAGGUUCGUGAAUUUUUGAAGUUUGGUAAUUUUGGCGGAUUAAUAAGGUAGAAUCCAGCCGUUGGAUUAAAGUCGUAUAAUCUGUGGAAGGGUGUAGUUAAGGCUGCUGGUUUUAGUGUUGAGGUGUGGACCGUAUCGAAGUUAGGCAAUAAUGAGCGUGAGUAUGGCUCUCGGUUAAUUUUGCCUAUUUUGUUUAAAUAUUGGAUUUUUAGUGGGGAAAUUAAUUAUAUAUUUGUGCCAGGGUUCGAGGAAACCUCACUGGAGCGACGAUUUGGAUUUCGUCGGGCUUAUGCCUAGAGUUGUGAGUGGACUUUUGUUUUAAAUAAUAUGCAUGUUAUGGUUCAUGGUUGAACAAUUUGUUUUGUUGGAGUAUUUGACGUCAUUUUAAUUUUGACGAUUUUAUUUCUCUUAGAGAGUCACCGAAAAUCCCAUUUUCGGUGAAUAUAAAUAUGUAUUUAUGAGGAGAGUAUGUAUAUAACAGCUAGCUAGCCCUAUGUGUCUGUCCACCUUAAUGGCGUAGCAUAUAGCCGUAUUAUGAUGUGACGUGAGCGUUAGACACGAGAGUAGUAGCCCUAUAUGAGUGUUUAAUUCAUAUAGGGGGCAUGAGCACAUAUUUAUACACUCGUCUGUCCAC
RNAcentral lists this long non-coding RNA (9434 nucleotides) under Fragaria vesca (wild strawberry). RNAcentral's name for it is "long non-coding RNA (FVES_LNC002491)". Lineage: Eukaryota; Viridiplantae; Streptophyta; Magnoliopsida; Rosales; Rosaceae. The record is from RNAcentral.